AUUGAACGCUGGCGGCAGGCCUAACACAUGCAAGUCGAGCGGAUGAAGGGAGCUUGCUCCUGGAUUCAGCGGCGGACGGGUGAGUAAUGCCUAGGAAUCUGCCUGGUCGUGGGGGAUAACGUCCGGAAACGGGCGCUAAUACCGCAUACGUCCUGAGGGAGCAAGUGGGGGAUCUUCGGACGUCACGCUAACAGAUGAGCCUAGGUCGGAUUAGCUAGUUGGUGGGGUAAAGGCCUACCAAGGCGACGAUCCUUAACUGGUCUGAGAGGAUGAUCAGUCACACUGGAACUGAGGCACGGUCCAGACUCCUACGGGGGGCAGCAGUGGAGAAUAUUAGGCGAUGGGCGAAUGCCUGAUCCAGCCAUGCCGCGUGUGUGAAGAAGGUCUUCGGAUUGUAAAGCACUUUAAGUUGGGAGGAAGGACAGUAAGUUAAUACCUUACUAUAUUGACGUUACCAACAGAAUAAGCUCCGGCUAACUUCGUG
Molecule: ribosomal RNA, 484 nt
Filed under: uncultured bacterium
Lineage: Bacteria
Description: partial 16S ribosomal RNA
Rfam family: Bacterial small subunit ribosomal RNA
Source: RNAcentral